This 309-nucleotide long non-coding RNA is filed under the name Carica papaya (papaya). Its description in RNAcentral is "long non-coding RNA (CPAP_LNC007075)". Lineage: Eukaryota; Viridiplantae; Streptophyta; Magnoliopsida; Brassicales; Caricaceae. The record is from RNAcentral.
CUUAGCUACUACGACAAGGGCACUUAUCUUGCCUAGAUCCGAGCCAUACUGGAUCUCUUUAUGAAGAUCUAGGAAACGCAAACCAAGGACCCAAAAAUCACAAGAAUCUAGGUAAGUUCACUUCUGACAAAUCCCCUUAUUUCAAGAUCUUAGAGGAUGAACUGUUCAGAUUCCAGAACCGAAUUUGGGUCCUCAUUGCUGUAUGUGUAGAUGUGCUCAAGACCGCCCAUGCUUCCAAAUUAUCCAUUCAUUUUGGGAGAACCAAAAUUUAUCAGGAAUUGAAGCGGCAAUAUUGGUGGUUAGGAAUAA